AAAAGUGUCAGCGUCACAAAUUGGAAGAGAGAUUGGCUCUGCAAGCAGCGAAGAUCAAACAGAUAUCUUUCAACAAGCUGACAGGCUGAGAGAGAAAAUCCAAUGAAAUAUAGAUUUUCCGGUAGCAGUAGUUGAGAGUAACACUAGGACUGUCAGUAAAUCAUUAUCAGUUGCUAUGUGAAUGUCU
Long non-coding RNA from Leptinotarsa decemlineata (Colorado potato beetle), 187 nucleotides. NCBI's taxonomy places the organism in Eukaryota, Metazoa, Arthropoda, Insecta, Coleoptera, Chrysomelidae. The record is from RefSeq and is a predicted model, not a curated record.